CCUUUUUAUUGUUUUUUUCUUUGAUCUGGAUCUGUGUUGGUUUGGUGGUGGUGUUUCACGGUUUUGAUGUUUGUGAAUGGGGUUUGAUUCGAGUAUGAUGGUCUUGGUUGGAUUGAGUUGGUGCUGAAAAUGGUGAUUCGGUUCUGAAAACGGCUUGGAUCGGAUCCGGGUUGAUGAAUGGCCUUGAUUCGGUUUUGUGAAAGAUCUGUUUUUUUUUUUUGUCUGUUGGGCCCUCCCUUUUUGCUGGUUUGUGGGUUUGUAUUUAUAGAACUGGAUUGGAGACAUGGAACUUGUUGAAGGACAGACAGCAACUGCCUUGGCUUGGGAUUAAGGGGACAUGAAUGGGCUGGCGACAGCUGUGUGGAUUGGAACAAAAAUAUGAUAUUUUUGGACAUAAAAAAUAAAUAAUAAUAAAAAGGAAAAAAUAGAAAGACUAAAAAAUAAAAUCUAAAUGAGUUAAUUAAAUUAAAAGGAAUUUAAAUAAAAGAUGGAAACUAAAAAAAGAUAAAAAAUGAAAAUUGGGAGAAGAGGGCCCGACUCGGAAUC
This 546-nucleotide long non-coding RNA is filed under the name Medicago truncatula (barrel medic). Its description in RNAcentral is "lncRNA gene15229". The record is from RNAcentral. Lineage: Eukaryota; Viridiplantae; Streptophyta; Magnoliopsida; Fabales; Fabaceae.